CUGCUAUGGUGUAAUUAGCACGGUACCUUUUCAUGGUAUAAGAGUAUAAGUAUACUAGUAGU
This 62-nucleotide transfer RNA is filed under the name Plumatella sp. 2 HH-2013. RNAcentral describes it as "tRNA-Glu". The record is from RNAcentral. Lineage: Eukaryota; Metazoa; Bryozoa; Phylactolaemata; Plumatellidae.